RNAcentral lists this ribosomal RNA (451 nucleotides) under uncultured prokaryote. RNAcentral's name for it is "bacterial SSU rRNA". It matches the Rfam family "Bacterial small subunit ribosomal RNA", at positions 355 to 796 of the family's 1533-position model. The record is from RNAcentral.
UGGGGAAUAUUGCUCAAUGGGCGAAAGCCUGACGCAGCGACGCCGCGUGGGGGAGGAAGGCCCUAGGGUCGUAAACCCCUGUCAGGUGGGACGAACCCCGGGUCGGCGAACAGCCGGCUCGGCUGACGGUACCACCAGAGGAAUCCCCGGCUAACUCCGUGCCAGCAGCCGCGGUAAUACGGAGGGUGUGAGCGUUGUCCGGAAUUACUGGGCGUAAAGGGCGCGUAGGCGGCCGGGUAAGUCGUGUGUGAAAGGCCGGGGCUCAACCCCGAGUAUGGCACGCGAUACUGCCUGGCUGGAGACAGGUAGAGGUGAGCGGAAUUCCCGGUGUAGCGGUGGAAUGCGUAGAUAUCGGGAGGAACACUCGCGGCGAAGGCGGCUCGCUGGGCCUGUUCUGACGCUGAAGCGCGAAAGCGUGGGGAGCAAACAGGAUUAGAUACCCCCGUAGUCC